UGAGUAACCUGCCCUUGACUCUGGGAUAAGCCUGGGAAACUGGGUCUAACACCGGAUAUGACUCCUCAUCGCAUGGUGGGGGGUGGAAAGCUUUUUGUGGUUUUGGAUGGACUCGCGGCCUAUCAGCUUGUUGGUGAGGUAAUGGCUCACCAAGGCGACGACGGGUAGCCGGCCUGAGAGGGUGACCGGCCACACUGGGACUGAGACACGGCCCAGACUCCUACGGGAGGCAG
This 233-nucleotide ribosomal RNA is filed under the name uncultured bacterium. RNAcentral describes it as "partial 16S ribosomal RNA". It matches the Rfam family "Bacterial small subunit ribosomal RNA", at positions 118 to 351 of the family's 1533-position model. The record is from RNAcentral.